AUUGAACGCUGGCGGCAGGCCUAACACAUGCAAGUCGAGCGGUAACAGAAAGUAGCUUGCUACUUUGCUGACGAGCGGCGGACGGGUGAGUAAUGCCUAGGGAUCUGCCCAGUCGAGGGGGAUAACCAUUGGAAACGAUGGCUAAUACCGCAUACGCCCUACGGGGGAAAGGAGGGGACCUUCGGGCCUUUCGCGAUUGGAUGAACCUAGGUGGGAUUAGCUAGUUGGUAAGGUAAUGGCUUACCAAGGCGACGAUCCCUAGCUGGUUUGAGAGGAUGAUCAGCCACACUGGAACUGAGACACGGUCCAG
This 310-nucleotide ribosomal RNA is filed under the name uncultured Shewanella sp. Its description in RNAcentral is "bacterial SSU rRNA". It matches the Rfam family "Bacterial small subunit ribosomal RNA", at positions 30 to 334 of the family's 1533-position model. Lineage: Bacteria; Pseudomonadati; Pseudomonadota; Gammaproteobacteria; Alteromonadales; Shewanellaceae. The record is from RNAcentral.